RNAcentral lists this ribosomal RNA (388 nucleotides) under Diplophrys sp. RNAcentral's name for it is "partial small subunit ribosomal RNA". It matches the Rfam family "Eukaryotic small subunit ribosomal RNA", at positions 587 to 975 of the family's 1831-position model. The record is from RNAcentral. Lineage: Eukaryota; Bigyra; Amphitremida.
AGCUCCAAGAGGAGAUAUCAAAAUUGUUGCAGUUGAAAAGCUCGUAGUUGAUUUUCUGGGAGGUGCCUGUCUGGUCUGGGGCGUGAGCUUCUUUCUCAGAUGGGACCUCUCAUCUUGUGGAAUUCUAUUUUUGUUCUGUUCAUUCCGAAUAAAAGUACCACUCUGUUACUGAGAGCAAAUUGGAGUGCUCAAAGCAGGCUAUACAGCUUUGAACAAUCAAGCUUGGAAUAACAAUUACGACUCGUUUGUAUUUGUUGGUUAUAUAAUAUGAGUAAUUUUCGAAGGGAACAGUUGUCGGGGGUAUUUGUAUGCGAGAGUCAGAGGUGAAAUUCAAGGAUUUCUCGCCGACAAACGACUGCGAAAGCAUCUACCCAGCAUGUUUUCAUCA